Molecule: long non-coding RNA, 1067 nt
Organism: Gorilla gorilla gorilla (western lowland gorilla)
Lineage: Eukaryota; Metazoa; Chordata; Mammalia; Primates; Hominidae
Exons: 5
Source: RefSeq, a predicted model, not a curated record
AUUUGGGUUUUGAAGUAGUGAGUGUCGUCUUCAGAGUUGUUUUCCUGGAGGCGCUGAUACCGGAUUUGGUGGAGAAGGAUGGUAUGAAUGUGUUUCUAGGUGGCUGCCUGGACAAGGGAGUUCAGCCUUUGGGAGAUAAAGCAGAAUAUAAAGGGUCUCACUCUGUCACCCAGGCUGGAGUGCAGUGGCGCAAUCUCAGCUCACUGUAGACUCAACCUCCUGGGCUCAAGUGAUUCUCCCACCUCAGCCUUCUGACUUUGCCUCGGGAGAGAUAAAGAGAGUUGAUUCCGAGUACAGCUGGGCCACUGGGACUGCAUUCCUGCCUGUGAGGAGGAGAGCCUGUCAAUGAGCCAGAAGGGGCUAACAGAGGUUGUACUUACAGGUUCUCAAGUUUUGCUAUCAUAAACACCCAAAGUACACCACGCCUGCAAGCUGAAGGCUGACAGGAUAGAAAACUUGCACAAGACAGUUAACAUUGUAGCGAUCAUCUUGCCAAACAGAGGGCAGCAAUGCUUGUGUCUUGGUCGGAAAGGAGUUGGAGUGAAGUCACACAGGCAACCUUCAGUUGCAGGGUCAAGAAGAGCCACAUUCAAACCUGACCAUAUGAAAUAAUUAUCACCCAGAGAUAUUGGACUUGGAAUAGAAUAGAGAAACCAGAUGCUAUUUCUACGCCAUCUUCAUUUAGAGAGAGUGUAAGUAGGGGCUUUUGCUCUUAUUCUUGGUGUUGAAUGUGGGAUCAUUUGUAAUGUUACUUGGGAUGUUAUUAGAACUGAGACGGAAAUGCAGGUUUGCUGUAGGGGGGUCACAAACAGUGAUAUGCUGGGCAGCCCAGGCAUAGCAAAGUGGGGGCAGUGGCAGCUAUUGGUUUUGGCUGUCCCACAGGGUUCCAGUGGGGAUUUUCCCCAUCCUCAUCCUCUGGAUAAGAGGACCAAGGGAAGGCCUAGUUAUUCCUUUUUUCUGUAGAUACAGUGAUUGGGUGACUCAGAGGCUGAUGUGUAGCCUAAACAACUCCAGUUAGAAUAAUUCCCUGAAAUUAACUGCAAGGUAUAUCUUGUCACAUCCCUGCU